AAUGGGAUAGCUGGGUCAAAUGGUGGUUCCAUUCCAAGUUUUCUGAGGAAUCUCCAUACUGCUUUCCAUAGUGGUUGCACCAUUUUGCAGUUCCACCAGCAAU
RNAcentral lists this microRNA precursor (103 nucleotides) under Marmota monax (woodchuck). Lineage: Eukaryota; Metazoa; Chordata; Mammalia; Rodentia; Sciuridae. The record is from RNAcentral.